Mauremys reevesii (Reeves's turtle) is the source of this 1223-nucleotide long non-coding RNA. RefSeq lists it as uncharacterized. The record is from RefSeq and is a predicted model, not a curated record. Lineage: Eukaryota; Metazoa; Chordata; Testudines; Geoemydidae. The transcript has 3 exons.
CUUUCUUCUCCCUAGAUUUUACAGAUUCAUGGCCCAUUGUUUCAUACCAGCAGAACCUGGUUAUAGACAAAAGCUGAAAAACAUGCAAAAGCACUGAAGUAUUCUACAAGAAAACACCAAAAGUUUCCGCAUCAGAGUUGCUCUUUCAAGACUUCUGACAACACGUUCUACACCUCAUCCCUCUGAGAUUUUGGAAGAAAGAAGGCAAAGUGGACACCGGGAAGCAAAAAGGAGUGAGAGAAUGAAGAAUCCCUCUCUUACUCCUGCUGUAUCUCUUCUUUGCUCCUAUCACUGACCUGAGUUAGACUGACCUGAGUUAGACUGAUUUGCAUGUGAAUGGAAGUUGGGGUUGGGCUCAAACCUCAGUCAGAACCUGGACUUUUUGCGCAAUAUAGUCAUAGCCUUAGAAGCUGUAUUGGAUCAUUGGAUGUUUCCCACCCCUGGCUGAGCAAUAGAAGGAACAGAGGGAAUUCUGUAGGAUUCAUGUUACUGAAAAUAGCAUUACCCCUUAUUUAACUCCUACAAGAAUCCUGAAUAAUCCCACAGGUAGAGCUCAAUGUAAAUGAUGGGUGCAAUAAUCAAAUGCUCAACAUUGAUAUACUUCUCCGCCUACUGAAGUAAACAGUGAAACUUCCUCUAAUUUCAGUGGUACCAGAGUUAGUCUAGUGCAGACGACUAUGAAAAAUCCCACCCUUGAUGCUUAAAUAUAAUAAUGAUGAGAACUGUCUCAUAUUAAAAUGCUUAUUUCAUCCCAUUGCUAUAUGGAACUUUUGUAUGCAUUAGGCAACUCUUCCCCCAUGCAGAUUUGGAAGUAAAAACCCCUGCAGAUAUUUUCAAACUCCCCUCAGAACAUCUGCUGUCCUUGACAAUGACUCACCUCACCACUCCAAGUCUGUCCUCUCUUUUUCAUGUAACCCGUUAAUCCAUUUUCUCUUGCAGUAAUUGUUACUAUUACAGACAUUCUGUUAACAGAGACCACCUGGGGAUUACUAUAUGGCAAUAUGUUGAUAAGGCUUACGUUCUGUCACAUCGUGUGAACAAUCUUCAAAACUUUUGGAUGCAUGUUCACUACAUUUUUCUUGAUGCUCUCAUCUUAUGUUUAUUUUCAGUCUCACCUUGGCUUUAUUUUUAUGCACUUCAUGGUUGUUGUACAUUUUGUUUGUUACUUUUUUGUUUGGUGUUCAGGCAAAGCCUAAAGCUGUGAUUUUCCCCCCCCAAGAGGA